This 265-nucleotide unclassified non-coding RNA is filed under the name fungal sp. RNAcentral describes it as "partial internal transcribed spacer region". The stretch from base 1 to 46 matches the Rfam family "Eukaryotic small subunit ribosomal RNA", at positions 1786 to 1831 of the family's 1831-position model. The record is from RNAcentral. Lineage: Eukaryota; Fungi.
AAGUCGUAACAAGGUUUCCGUAGGUGAACCUGCGGAAGGAUCAUUAAUGAAUAACUGGCGUCUUCGGACCCAAACUCUCAUUAUCCUUCUACCUGUGAACUGUAAUAGCGUGUUCUUCAUUACGUGUCUCAUUUUAAUGUGACAUGUCUUGAAAACUGCUAAUCAAAUUUAUAAACAACGUCAAAAGAAUGUGAUUUUAUAAUCAAAUUGUGUAAUGCAAUAUGAAAACAAAAUACAACUUUUAGCAACGGAUCUCUUGGCUCUC